UGGGGAAUAUUGGACAAUGGGCGCAAGCCUGAUCCAGCAAUGCCGCGUGUGUGAAGAAGGCCUUCGGGUUGUAAAGCACUUUUAUCAGGAACGAAAUACUACUGGUUAAUAACCGGUGGGGCUGACGGUACCUGAGGAAUAAGCACCGGCUAACUUCGUGCCAGCAGCCGCGGUAAUACGAAGGGUGCAAGCGUUAAUCGGAAUUACUGGGCGUAAAGGGUGCGUAGGCGGCUUGUUAAGUCUGUCGUGAAAUCCCCGGGCUCAACCUGGGAAUGGCGAUGGAUACUGGCAAGCUAGAGUGUGUCAGAGGAUGGUGGAAUUUCCGGUGUAGCGGUGAAAUGCGUAGAGAUCGGAAGGAACAUCAGUGGCGAAGGCGGCCAUCUGGGACAACACUGACGCUGAAGCACGAAAGCGUGGGGAGCAAACAGGAUUAGAUACCCUGGUAGUCCACGCCCUAAACGAUGCGAACUGGAUGUUGGUCUCAACUCGGAGAUCAGUGUCGAAGCUAACGCGUUAAGUUCGCCGCCUGGGGAGUACGGUCGCAAGAC
This 548-nucleotide ribosomal RNA is filed under the name uncultured bacterium. Its description in RNAcentral is "bacterial SSU rRNA". It matches the Rfam family "Bacterial small subunit ribosomal RNA", at positions 355 to 894 of the family's 1533-position model. The record is from RNAcentral.